This 714-nucleotide ribosomal RNA is filed under the name uncultured Planctomycetota bacterium. RNAcentral describes it as "bacterial SSU rRNA". It matches the Rfam family "Bacterial small subunit ribosomal RNA", at positions 96 to 820 of the family's 1533-position model. The record is from RNAcentral. Lineage: Bacteria; Pseudomonadati; Planctomycetota.
CGGCGCAAGGGAGAGUAACGCGUGGAUAUCUGCCCUCGGCUCCAGAAUAGCUACGGGAAACUGUAGGUAAUGCUGGAUAAUAUCUCCGGAUUAAAGGUGUGAUUCCGGCCGAGGAUGAGUCCGCGUCCUAUUAGAUUGUUGGUGGGGUAAUGGCCUACCAAGUCGAAGAUGGGUACCGGGUGUGAGAGCAUGGCCCGGCUCACUGGGACUGAGACACUGCCCAGACGUCUACGGACGGCUGCAGUCGAGAAUCUUCCGCAAUGGGCGCAAGCCUGACGGAGCGACGCCGCGUGCGGGAUGAAGGCCUUCGGGUUGUAAACCGCUGUCAGUUGGGAGGAAAUACUAUGGGGUUCUCUCCAUAGUUUGACCGAUCUUCAGAGGAAGUACGGGCUAAGUACGUGCCAGCAGCCGCGGUAACACGUACCGUACGAACGUUAUUCGGAAUCACUGGGCUUAAAGAGUCCGUAGGCGGCUAUGUAGGUCAGGUGUGAAAUCCCACGGCUCAACCGUGGAACUGCGCUUGAAACCAUAUGGCUAGAGGGAGAUAGAGGAAAGCGGAACUGAUGGUGGAGCGGUGAAAUGCGUUGAUAUCAUCGGGAACACCGGUGGCGAAAGCGGCUUUCUGGGUCUCUUCUGACGCUGAGGGACGAAAGCUAGGGGAGCGAACGGGAUUAGAUACCCCGGUAGUCCUAGCUGUAAACGAUGAGCACUAGU